Molecule: long non-coding RNA, 443 nt
Filed under: Linum usitatissimum (flax)
Lineage: Eukaryota; Viridiplantae; Streptophyta; Magnoliopsida; Malpighiales; Linaceae
Description: long non-coding RNA (LUSI_LNC004039)
Source: RNAcentral
AUGCCACAGGCAGGCCUUGAGGUGAAUCUCUCAUCGAAUGCAGCUAAUAUUUUGGCAUGAUAUCAAGUAAUUAGUUAUUAUUGUGAUAUAAACUACUUAAUUAAUGCUGUUUUUUUCUUUUGUUAUAUUAGGGUUACUUUUUUGUUUUUAGUAAUUUUUUUUUCAAUUUUUGUAAAAUGCUACUUUUGAUCCUGGAUUUGUCUAUGCACCUAACUAUAUGUAUACAAUGGGUUUUAAUGUUUUUAUAAAAGUGUAUAAAUUUAUGCGGACUCGGGAAAACAUGUUGUAUUAACACCAGUUAGUUGAUCAAUGUAAUUAAGUCAUUUGAAAAAAUAAAAUAAUCUUAUAUCUACUUUCGUCAAACGCCUUCUUCUUUAUCUUUUACUUUUAAUUUGUAAUUCAUUAUCUUGUAAUUGACUUCAUGGGCCUUGUCUUCAUUUAAG